This 461-nucleotide ribosomal RNA is filed under the name uncultured bacterium. RNAcentral describes it as "bacterial SSU rRNA". It matches the Rfam family "Bacterial small subunit ribosomal RNA", at positions 917 to 1382 of the family's 1533-position model. The record is from RNAcentral.
GGGCCCGCACAAGCAGCGGAGCAUGUGGUUUAAUUCGAAGCAACGCGAAGAACCUUACCUAGACUUGACAUCCCCUGAAUUACCUGUAAUAAGGGAAGCCCUUCGGGGCAGGGAGACAGGUGGUGCAUGGUUGUCGUCAGCUCGUGUCGUGAGAUGUUAGGUUAAGUCCUGCAACGAGCGCAACCCUUAUCAUUAGUUGCUACCAUUAAGUUGAGCACUCUAGUGAGACUGCCCGGGUUAACCGGGAGGAAGGUGGGGAUGACGUCAAAUCAUCAUGCCCCUUAUGUCUAGGGCUACACACGUGCUACAAUGGUGAAUACAGAGAGAUGCAAACCCGCGAGGGUGAGCCAAACUUCAAAAUUCACCUCAGUUCGGAUUGUAGGCUGAAACCCGCCUACAUGAAGCUGGAGUUGCUAGUAAUCGCGAAUCAGAAUGUCGCGGUGAAUGCGUUCCCGGGCCUU